CUCAAACUGCUUCUACCAGGGAGUAGAGCCCAGAGGGCUCCAGAAUCCGGCAUACCUGCCUGAGAACGUCUCAUCUUCCUUCAAGUUCCAUUCGGCUGCCUGGCACACUGAAGAACCCACAGACGUGGGUGGUGAAGGAAGCAAUGGAUGAACUUGUAUUUGGUCCAACACCAACAGCAGAUGCUCCAGUCUCCCAGCUCUGAGGCUCUAGCUUGAGCCCUUUGAAGAAAAUGCUCCGAGGAAACAGGUGCAGUGACUCUGAGCUGGCCCUGAAGAGGAAAUUCAAGUCCAUUGAGUCACCUUUCACUGAAGCCAGGGGGAAAAACCCAGAAAUCCCUUUGCCUUCCAGACCCAACCAGAAGCUUUUAAGGACCUAAUCUCUUGAAAGAUGUUU
RNAcentral lists this long non-coding RNA (394 nucleotides) under Mus spicilegus (steppe mouse). Its description in RNAcentral is "lncRNA (ENSMSIG00000004229.1)". Lineage: Eukaryota; Metazoa; Chordata; Mammalia; Rodentia; Muridae. The record is from RNAcentral.